CGAGCGGACAGAUGGGAGCUUGCUCCCUGAUGUUAGCGGCGGACGGGUGAGUAACACGUGGGUAACCUGCCUGUAAGACUGGGAUAACUCCGGGAAACCGGGGCUAAUACCGGAUGGUUGUUUGAACCGCAUGGUUCAAACAUAAAAGGUGGCUUCGGCUACCACUUACAGAUGGACCCGCGGCGCAUUAGCUAGUUGGUGAGGUAACGGCUCACCAAGGCAACGAUGCGUAGCCGACCUGAGAGGGUGAUCGGCCACACUGGGACUGAGACACGGCCCAGACUCCUACGGGAGGCAGCAGUAGGGAAUCUUCCGCAAUGGACGAAAGUCUGACGGAGCAACGCCGCGUGAGUGAUGAAGGUUUUCGGAUCGUAAAGCUCUGUUGUUAGGGAAGAACAAGUACCGUUCGAAUAGGGCGGUACCUUGACGGUACCUAACCAGAAAGCCACGGCUAACUACGUGCCAGCAGCCGCGGUAAUACGUAGGUGGCAAGCGUUGUCCGGAAUUAUUGGGCGUAAAGGGCUCGCAGGCGGUUUCUUAAGUCUGAUGUGAAAGCCCCCGGCUCAACCGGGGAGGGUCAUUGGAAACUGGGGAACUUGAGUGCAGAAGAGGAGAGUGGAAUUCCACGUGUAGCGGUGAAAUGCGUAGAGAUGUGGAGGAACACCAGUGGCGAAGGCGACUCUCUGGUCUGUAACUGACGCUGAGGAGCGAAAGCGUGGGGAGCGAACAGGAUUAGAUACCCUGGUAGUCCACGCCGUAAACGAUGAGUGCUAAGUGUUAGGGGGUUUCCGCCCCUUAGUGCUGCAGC
RNAcentral lists this ribosomal RNA (808 nucleotides) under Bacillus sp. (in: firmicutes). RNAcentral's name for it is "bacterial SSU rRNA". It matches the Rfam family "Bacterial small subunit ribosomal RNA", at positions 63 to 852 of the family's 1533-position model. Lineage: Bacteria; Bacillati; Bacillota; Bacilli; Caryophanales; Bacillaceae. The record is from RNAcentral.